UAUGCACCAUUCUCUCCAGUACGAAAGGACCGAGAAAAUAAGACCUAUAUUCAAAACAAGUCUUUCUUUCCCCCGAAACUAUAUUAAACCAAAGGUACCCCCCCAACCCAAAAUCAGGGC
RNAcentral lists this ribosomal RNA (120 nucleotides) under Varanus brevicauda (Short-tailed pygmy monitor). Its description in RNAcentral is "partial 16S ribosomal RNA". Lineage: Eukaryota; Metazoa; Chordata; Lepidosauria; Squamata; Varanidae. The record is from RNAcentral.